This is a non-coding RNA of Coturnix japonica (Japanese quail), 8372 nucleotides long. Lineage: Eukaryota; Metazoa; Chordata; Aves; Galliformes; Phasianidae. The record is from RefSeq and is a predicted model, not a curated record.
UGUUGAUUUGAAGACUGUUUGUUCAGUGGUGAGAUCCAAGUACCAAAGUGCAAGGAGCUAUUCUAUCUUCACAGACUGAUUUUCACCAAGGGAGGCUACUUUUAAAGGCGUGUCAUUGCUUCAAGGCAUGCUCUGAGGGAGCUCAUGACUCCCCUACAUGUCUCCCAUGGGAAAGCUGCUCCUGCAGCUGGAAGCGGCCAUGCAUGUACCCCUUGGGACAGUGGCAUUGGGUCCCAAGGAAGUACCUCAAUGGAAGAGUAAUUUUUACAUGGCAGAAAGAUGGUUUCCUAUCAUAUGGCCAAAAAGUGCAUUAUCUGUGCUGCUAAUGUGAAUCUUCUCUGUUAUUCUCCACAUCAGAAGACCCACAGCCCUUGCUGUUUAAAUGACUGAAGAUUCUGGGAGGGUCCAUCAAAAGGAUGCAAACUUAAUCGCACAUAACAGGAACUCUGGAAGCAAGUUUGGCUCUGGAUGGCUGGAAGUCAAAGUAACCCCUUGGCAUCAGUGCCUGCACAUCACCGGCUGGAUAUAGGAAGUCCAUAAUUCUUCUGUGUUUAUGAUAAAGCCUUCCUGCUCAGAACUUCAGAACCCUCUGCAAUGAGGGAUUAAUUCAGCCUCACAUGCAGUAAACAGGAUCUUCUCUUUUACAGGGGGGAAACGGAGGCACAGCAAGGCACAAGGACAUCUGGGGCCUGCUGCAGGCCAGGAAAGAGUUGGGACUUUCCCCAGUUCAGCGCCAAGUGCCUCCAAAAAGCCCUACUAUCGGCACGAGGACUUUGUGAGAGGGAGCAGAGGGGGCCCCACUUUUUGAUGUGUGACUUGAAUCACCUGAAAGGGAUUUGCUUCCCUCUGAACUCCGUCACUGGGAAACCAAACUCCCCCAGGCAUCUGUUGAGUCUGAAAAUUUGGGCUUAAUUAUCCUUCGGUCUGUGGCAUUCGGAGCAGAGAUUUAUGCCUAUUUUGGAAAAGAAAUGGAGGUUACCCACACCUCUUGCUAAUUAAAAACCAGAGGUGAGGAGAGAUGGGUAAUUAGGUUACCUUGUUUGUGCUGGUUAAAUAAGUGGCACGGGCAGAAUUUGCUCGGAGGGACCCUUGCAGCAGUGCUGUGCUCUUGUUAAUCUUGGUGCUAUGGUUGGAACCAAACAGGAGAAAGCAAGGCUGGUGUUGACAGGGCCUUGUUCUGUGCCUGGAGUUCUACAGCAGUUUCCUCCCACCCUGCUGCUCCCUAAUCGCAGUGCUUCCUACGUGGCCUUUAUCAGUGCAGACCACUGCCUGUAAAUAGGAGAAAUCCUGUUGCAAAAGCCCUGAGCACAAUGUUAUCUUUCCUCUUUCCCACAGAAGAGACACGCUAGGAAAUGCCUUGCUUCAGUUUGUCCCUCCUUGUUCCUGGAUGAUGUUGGAGCCAUUGUAAGGAGCGAGGCUCACGUUUCCUCCCGAAGAUGGCAGAUGCUCUGAUGGGUGGGAUUGUUGGCAGGGUGCGCACUGACAUGUGGCAUCCUGCUGGGUUCUUGUGCCAACUCAGGGCUUGUGAGCCCACAAAGCCUCUUGUUGGUCUGGGAACUGAGCACUUGGGAUUUCCCUACAUGAAACUCAAGAACAUGCAGGCCUGGCUGCUGAAGUUGGAGAAAAAUGACUUGUGCAGCCAGUGGCUUUUCCCUGGGAAAUGAUACUGAGAGGCACCUCGCAGAGGGAUGUGUUAAUACAGUGCACAUGUGGCAGCUUACGGAAAGCCAAAGGCUUUCCCUCCUCCCAAGUGAUGCUCACUGCAGGAUGCCUUCUGCAGGGUCAUCACCCUCUGGCUUCUGUGGGAUGCUCCAUGCUGUGGGAGCACCAAAGCAGCAGCUUGGGCACGGCUGGCACUUCUCCCUGCUGCUCCUGGAGCCCUGCUCCUCCCUUGGCUGUCAGCUGCCACCUGCUGCUGCAGCACAGGGGGACAUUAACCAGAACUCUUGGCAGACAGACACAGACAGCACUCCUGCUGUCAUCCGGUCACGUUGUCCACGUGCCACCCAUGUGCUGCUGAUACACCUCUCUCUGCUGCUGCAGCUUGUGCUGUGGGAUCUAAGUCCAUGAGCGAACGUCUUUAUUUCAGGUAUGGAACAAGGAACUGACUGAUUUCCCUGUGCCUAGCAGCCAGCUGCUUGCCAUUGAAACAGCGGUCUUCUUGAUGAUCAGGAGCUGGACCUGCUCGGGGUUGCAACACCAUAGGAGCAGAUGAUGGCUUUUUGCCUUGAUGUGCAGAUGUCAUUAGGUACCUAGACGUUUGCAGGUUCUCAAAUGUGCACAGUGAAACUGAAGGCCACUAAAAAAAUCAUCACCACCCAGAUGGGGAAGCUGGGACAAAAAGAGUUGAAAUGAUUUGACCAAUGACCAAUACACAGCUGGGACCAGAAAGCAGACUUUUGUAAUACCCCAACAGCAAUUAUUUACCAGGUUUAGGAUAAAACCAUGUAGUCCUAGUUCAGCAGUCAUGAAGUCUGUGAAGAGAAGACUGCAAUGCCUCCAGAAACUGGUAAGAAAUUAAUAUUUAUGCUGUUUCUGCAGAAGUUUGGGGACAGUUUCUUUGCACAGGAGUCACAUUAGACAAUGGUAAGAAUGGCACUUUUAAUGAUUUCUCUGUUUUUCUCUCAUGACUUUCCACAAGAGUUCUCCUGGUGUCUGUAGCAGAAUGAAAUUAGAGGGGGUACAGUAUAAAAAUGUACCAUAUAAACAGUACAAAAUUAAAUGGGGUGAAAUUGGCAUAGGACAGUAUUCUAAUCAUCAAGAAAUGCAUCUAAGAUUAGAGUGAGCAGGCUGACCAGCUGUUUACAGAGAAUAAAUAAAGGAUGUUUUCAGGACAAAUGAACAAGUGGUAUCUGUUUGAAGGGUCUUACAACAUGCAUUCGCUAAAUGGCUAUCCAUCUGGAAACACAACCUUUAGAGGGAGCUUUUUAAUGUUUCUGUGGGCCUGGCCACUGAAGUGUGUGGCAGAAACACCUGAAGCUGCAUCUGAAGUCACUAGAAGAUGCCAUGCCUAAGAACUAUUGCCAAAGGAAAUUAGUGGUAUUUGAGCAACUCCAUUUUUCUUUUUUCAGGCUGUGGCCAUUUCCACUUCUAUCCUUGCUUUUCCUGUAAGAGGAGAACCUAUGGAAAGCUCACUAGAACAGCGAUUGCAACCUGCACAGCACUUAUUGUGCUGAUACACACAGAGUAUGGGACUGAUUAAUUUUUUCAUGUGUUUUUUGAGGUGGAAAAUAUGUUGGAGAGCUUGAUUUUUUUAAUAAAUAAAGAUGAUACUGAAAGGUUCCAGAAGAGGAGUUAGAAAGAAAACAAAAUUUCAAGUACAAUAUUUAAACUGGGAGCCCAUCAACACCCUCAGAACUGUUGCAGAAGACACUCAUAAUACUCUGAACAUGUUUAAUUGGAAAGAAAACCUUUGACUGUGAUUACGAUUUAAAUGAAUACAUUGUACAUUGAUAACUGAUAACACUGAUAACAUUGUACAUUGAUAACCUUUGGUGAAAGGCUGUUUAAAGUUGUGAUGUGUUUGCUUCUCGGGGCCACUGAAGAUCAUUAUAAAAAUUUCCAUUAUAAAGAACUACUUUCUAUAAUGUUUAACUUCCUUGACUUCUGACAGUCAAGAGAAAAAUUAUGUAUUAAUAAUACUAGGAAUAUGUAAAUCUUUGCAUAAUUUUAUCUUCAUAGAAAGCAAAAUCCCAACUCAUUUCAUUUUCAGAGGUAAAAUAGAUGCUACCGAGAUCCAAAGAAAACCCAGAAGGAUCCAGAGGUCAUCACUGAUUUUCAAGAACUUAAACACUAUUUUGCCUUUUCUGGUUACAUUCCUGGAAUGACAAAAUUUAUGAAGUUUGCCGUUUUAUUGGACAAUAUCACCUUAUUUAUAGCACACAUAACACUACUUUAAUCAUGUUCAAAAGGACCAGUAAUGCCUAAUCAAUUGCCAUCUUUCCUAAUGCAUGAGGUAAGAGUUUUCCUUUCCCAGGAUUUCACAAAUUGAUUUCCAAGAGUGAUCUGCUCUGGCUUCCCCAUUCCUAGAUGCUCCCCCUUCAUGAAGUUCUGACCAUCCCUAAUGGGAAACAGAAACGAUGGCAAAAAAUUCAAUAUGUUAAUGAUUCAUUUCAAUGAGUGCAAAACAUAAAAAUUGUAAGCAAUUGUUCCACAAAUGUCUCUUUCUGCUGCAGAAAGUGAGCCUAUAGAUGGUAUUUGGUGAUAAGGCAGUCACAACUCCCUCAGCUGCUGCUUGGAGAACAAAGAAUGGCACAGCAGGAAAUGAGGACAUGGGCAACUUGUUUUGGGCCGCAGUUUGGAACUUAACACAGUCUGCAGAGGGCAGAAGUAAAGGGGGCACUUUCUAAGGAAGUACUGGAAUACAGAAGAUUACAGAAGAACUGGGAAGUGUUACAAAAUGGGAAAAAUUCAUUGGAAAAGCUCUUUCACAAAAUCUCUAUGGAUGCCUCCAAAGAAACACUUAAGUCAGACCAUCUCAGCAUACUUAUCAUGGUUAGGCUGAUGUCUUUGUUGCAGUUCGGUAGGAAUUAUUCUACCCAACUCUGUGAGACAAACUGUACUUAUUUAUUACUACAGAAAACAUCCCAGCAUGUUCCAUGUGUACAUACUGUGAAUUCACUGAUCUUGAUAAUUUUAAAGACUUUUACUGCUCUUACUUUCCUCCCACGAAUCUUAGCCCCAUUUUUAACCAAGCACCAUCUUCGCUCUCCUCAUAAGCACAUGUAUCAUGAAACAGAGAUAUAAAAAUAUAACCAAAACACACACAAGCACCACAAGCAACACACUGCAGUUUCUCACCACUGCUAAGAUGAAGGGAAGCAUCCCCAAGUAUUAUUAUUAGUUAAAACAGAUCCUCAAGAGGCCUAUUUUGAAGAGAUAAAGAAACAAGAACUCUUCUUUUUCUUCUUUUUCUCUCUCUUGCUUUCUCUUUUUCCUUCUCUUUCUUCUUUUCAUUUUCUUUUUCUUGAAAAAUAAAUCCGUCACUACCUCAGAAAUGCUCUUUUUAGAUUAAGCCCACUCUUCAGCAAGAAUCUGAUGAAGAGAGGAGUCCUGUUUUGCUCCAAGGGACCGAAUAAAGCUCAUGAUACCUUCUGGGAUAAUACAGUACGAGAUAUGUAGGAAGUUUGGUUAUCCACACAAGGGUGCCUAGUGCCAUUGGAGGUGUAUUUGGCCACUUGAGGGGUCUGUUCUGUUUGCCUGGGGAGAGCCAUGCCCUUCUGGAGUGGCAGCUGAAGACAUCAAACCCUUUGUUUGGGUAGCAGAAUCGCUCAUAUAAGAACUGUACAUCCUGCUGCAGUCCUGCUUUGCAUAUACGAUUUAUAACUGUUCUAAGAACCUUAAAUGACUGUGCACAUGCUUGAGAUAAAUAUACCCUAAAAAAUUCUUCUUUUCUUCUUUUUCACACUUCCAGAUUUCUGACAUUUGCACUCCUAGCAUUUAAUUUUGAGGUGAAGGGAACCUGGCUUCUUUAUACAGAUGGAAAAUACACUCAACUUCUCCCUUAUGAAAUAUCUUUCAAACAUUAGCUGAAUAGUUUUUGUCCAUUUGACCAUCUGAGUAAUUACUUUAGAACGUCUUCUCCUGCAUUUCUUUGCUAGCAGUCAGACCUCUGUAGUAAAAUAUUAUGUUGAAAAUAUAUUUUAGAAGAAAGGUAUAUAAUCCUAUUAAUGGAUUUCUUUAAAUUCUCUAUAUGUGUUUUGCAAUGAAAUAAGCAUAUCCAUAGCAAUUUUUAAAGUUCUACUUCAGGAUUUAUGCACUCUUAAUGGAUGGAGAUUAUUUCUUUGUAUAAUAUAAAUAUCCCAAAGAUUUAAUGAAGCCAUAAAAACAUUCAUUAGACUUCUGUAAUUAGAAUUAUAGUUCCAAAAGCUUCAGUGUGCUAAAUAUACCUGCAGUAUUUCAUUGUCCUAAGUUUUCAGUAAACAGCUUUCCUGUGGGGAAGAACUCAGAGCUGUGGGGGUGGAAUUCACAUCUGACUUGCUGAGAGGGCCCCCAGCAUCACCUCCCCCUGAACUGAGCAGCCACCUGUGGGUCUACAUUUAUGGCGACCUGAUCCCCCAGGCCACCUGCAGCCUGCUGAGGGCCUCUCCUCAGGAAGCUGUGGAGCUUGCCUCAAUUAGAUGUCACCUCCAACUUGCAACAAGGCCUGAAGAUAGAUUCCUUCUUUCUUGGUGUGACAUUUAUUUGAUAUCAGAUCAGGCCCACAGAUGUGUUUUGGAAAACCCUUGGAGGCCUUGAACAACCAUGUAUGUAAAUGCUGGGAUGGAAUCUGAUCCUACCCUCUCAUUGGGAGUAGGGAAUGAUAAUAAUUUUUAAUAGAUGCUGCAAGUCAAGACAUUUCUGUGUUCGUUCAGGCCAUUUUACUCUCAUGCAAAUGUUUUGUCUGUUUUCUAUGUAAAGAACAGCAAUGACAUGGAGGCCAAUGGUGACAUCUCAGAAUCCAAUCAGAAAACCUGCAUAAAGAUGAAAGGUCUUACCAACAAGAAGUGAGCUUGCUAAACUACACCUUUGAAUGAAUUCGGACAAAACUGAAAAAUGUUGUUGAUAUCAGAUCCUUAGGCUGAUUACUGAAGCGUUCGAUUUUUCAGCAUGUCAAUUCAUCACUGUCUACCUGGUUAUAUUUAACACUUUCUCCUGUUUCCAUCCUGUCUGCUGAGAUAGGCAAUCUCUGUCACAUGGUAUCUGCUUCACCAGAAAGUCAAUAGACCAUUGUGGAGGCCCAUGAGGCCUGUUCCCCAGUCACCCUGAUUCUCAACAUGAUAUUGCUGGCGGCAGAUGGAGCUUCCACGUCUUGUGGCAUCUAAAAUGUUAAUGAGAUUAGCAACUUCCAUCCUUCAAGCAGUUCAGUGUGUCCUUUUUGGUGCUUUGUAAUUAUGUAGCCAGUCACCGGAACACAGAAACUUUAUACUGAUGCUUUUUACCUUGUGCUGGUAUUACCAAAAUGUUGCAUUAAUUACGCUUGUGUUCAUUUUCUUUUAGAAAACACUGCUUUGCCCUUUAAGCCAGCCGCAGGUUCAAGACAAUUGGUGUAUCAUUCUGAAUUUGGAACUCUGGAGCUGAGACGUUUAGGAUGCAUAUUAAUUUAGUUUUAGUUACAUCUCACCAGUUUGGGCCAAAUAAUACAAAAUAAAUAUAUAGAAAUGGUGGCUCAUAACUUCCAUGCAUUCUGGCCUGUUUUUGGAUACUUGGAAGUAGCUCUUAGAUUUCGCUAACCUGAUCCUUUCUGAGGCUACCUGUUGUACCACAACUGUGGUGUGGGACUGAGGAAGAUUGAACAACCUUUCCUUAUUGUCAGAGAAGAAUCGGACCAGGCUUGUUACCUUCUUGUUUCUGACAGAUUAUCCAUCAUUAGGUACUUGGACUCUUAUCUCCUUGUUCAGAUUAUCCUUUGUUAUGUACUUGGAUCCUGGGUGUGUAUGUGUGAACGUAUACACAUACGCAUCUAUAAAGAUGGUCCUAUAUAUAUAUACAUUCACAGAGAAUAGUUGUUCACCGAUUAAAAGGUAUUUAUUGUUAGAACUUACUGUUAGUUUAGCCUGAAAGGUCUUCAUUGGCUUCUUGGAUUGAGUUUAAGUUCCAUUUCAUGUCCUGAAGCAAGCUCAGGAUGGUAGUCUUUCCAAAUGUCAGGGGAAUCACCUUUCUGAUAUUUGGCUUCUCCCCUGUGCAAAACAAUAAUUGUACAACUUGCUUAGCUUUGUAAAGUGCUUUGAGAUCUAUGGGUGAGGCACACUAUAGGCAUUCUAAACAUGAUUUAUUUCCUUGCAGGGCCUAUCCCUAAGUGGCUCAUUGAAGAAACAACAUUUAUAAAUAUGCAUAGCUUCCUGGUAUAGAAUUUUUCCUAUUCUUUUCAGAAUAUACAGGCUAAGCUGUUAUUAUUCACUUUUCCAUUUUUAGAAUCAACGAUUAAAUUGCACAGCACUACUGUGUUGUACCAAUUAAAAUAACUACUGUCUAUUUGGCAGUCCUUUAAUGGGAAAUGAAAUUCACUUUUAGGCAUAUAUCACGGUAAUACAUAUAUCAUAUGGUAUACAGUUUAGAUCAUUUCGGAAGACAGUAGCUGUAUUAGAUCGUAUUCCCCCACCUAGUCCUGGUUACAAGCAUCAAUUUUGUUAAUUAAGAAUUUUAAACCCUGUGAAUUUAUAGUACAAUUAUGCUUUACUUCAUAAGUAGGUCUUUACCCCUCUACAACUAUUAACAAAAUGUCCACUUAUAUUAUUUGCUGACGGUUUCAAAGGCUGAUGAAUUUUGUAUGAAGAUUUGCCCUUUUUUCUAAGCUUUGCUCACUGCACAUCAGCUGUUUGUCAGCAAAACAUAACAGUGAAGACUUCUGACUUAAAUCUUUUUUCUUUCUUUUUUUUUUUUUUUUUUUUUUU